AUCUAAUGAGCCGAAAAAGACGCCGAGACUAGUCAGAAAAAACAGCAUUAAUAGUGGCAAACCAAACUUUUCUGACAUUGCAGAGUUUCAGAAGAGUCUCAAACAAGAAAGCAGCAGUUCUAAUAAUCUAAGCAGCUAAAUAUUCUUCAUCAUCUGCAGUCGUUGAUUAAACAAUGUAUAUUUAAUAUUUUUGCAUUAUUAUUUAUUAUGAUACAGAUUCAUGUAAUAUCAAAAAUAUCAAGCAUUUGGUUACAGAA
Molecule: long non-coding RNA, 257 nt
Organism: Rhinichthys klamathensis goyatoka
Lineage: Eukaryota; Metazoa; Chordata; Actinopteri; Cypriniformes; Leuciscidae
Exons: 3
Source: RefSeq, a predicted model, not a curated record